This 430-nucleotide ribosomal RNA is filed under the name uncultured bacterium. RNAcentral describes it as "bacterial SSU rRNA". It matches the Rfam family "Bacterial small subunit ribosomal RNA", at positions 355 to 776 of the family's 1533-position model. The record is from RNAcentral.
UAAGGAAUUUUGCACAAUGGACGAAAGUCUGAUGCAGCAACGCCGCGUGAUCGAUGAAGCUUCUAGGAGUGUAAAGAUCUGUCGUGAGGGAAGAAAAAUUUAGAUGUAAAUAAUGUUUAAACUUGACGGUACCUUACAAGAAAGCACCGGCUAACUUCGUGCCAGCAGCCGCGGUAAUACGAGGGGUGCUAGCGUUGUCCGGAAUAACUGGGCGUAAAGGGUCCGUAGGCGUUUUGCUAAGUUGAUCGUUAAAUCCAUCGGCUUAACCGAUGAAAUGCGAUCAAAACUGGCAGAAUAGAAUAUGUGAGGGGAAUGUGGAAUUCCUGGUGUAGCGGUGACAUGCGUAGAUAUCAGGAGGAACACCGAUGGCGAAGGCAGCAUUCUGGCACAAUAUUGACGCUGAGGGACGAAAGCGUGGGGAGCGAACAGG